RNAcentral lists this ribosomal RNA (462 nucleotides) under uncultured bacterium. RNAcentral describes it as "partial 16S ribosomal RNA". It matches the Rfam family "Bacterial small subunit ribosomal RNA", at positions 28 to 507 of the family's 1533-position model. The record is from RNAcentral.
GACGAACGCUGGCGGCGUGCUUAACACAUGCAAGUCGAACGGAAAGGCCCUUCGGGGUACUCGAGUGGCGAACGGGUGAGUAACACGUGGGUGAUCUGCCCUGCACUUUGGGAUAAGCCUGGGACACUGGGUCUAAUACCGAAUAGGACCACGCGCUUAAUGGUGUGUGGUGGAAAGCUUUUGCGGUGUGGGCUGGGCCCGCGGCCUAUCAGCUGGUUGGUGGGGUAAUGGCCUACCAAGGCGACGACGGGUAGCCGGCCUGAUAGGGUGACCGGCCACACUGGGACUGAGAUACGGCCCAGACUCCUACGGGAGGCAGCAGUGGGGAAGAUUGCACAAUGGGCGCAAGCCUGAUGCAGCGACGCCGCGUGAGGGAUGACGGCCUUCGGGUUGUAAACCUCUUUCAAUAGGGACGAAGCGCAAGUGACGGUACCUAUAGAAGAAGCACCGGCCAACUACGUG